CGGGUGACCUAUCCGUGAGGCGGGGAUACCCCUUCGAAAGAGGGGUUAAUACCGGAUGCGCCCACAGGCAGAGAUGCUUGGGGGCAAAGGAUGCUACUUAAUAGGGGCAUGUCUUCAUGGAGGGGCCCACGGCCUAUCAGCUAGUUGGUGCGGUAACGGCGCACCAAGGCGAAGACGGGUAGCUGGUCUGAGAGGAUGGCCAGCCACACGGGGACUGAGACACGGCCCCG
This 230-nucleotide ribosomal RNA is filed under the name uncultured bacterium. Its description in RNAcentral is "partial 16S ribosomal RNA". It matches the Rfam family "Bacterial small subunit ribosomal RNA", at positions 118 to 334 of the family's 1533-position model. The record is from RNAcentral.